Molecule: ribosomal RNA, 253 nt
Filed under: uncultured bacterium
Lineage: Bacteria
Description: partial 16S ribosomal RNA
Rfam family: Bacterial small subunit ribosomal RNA
Source: RNAcentral
UACAGAGGGUGCAAACGUUGCUCGGAAUUAUUGGGCGUAAAGCGCACGUAGGCGGCAUCGUAAGUCCGAUGUGAAAGCCCCAGGCUCAACCUGGGAAGUGCAUUGGAUACUGCGGAGCUUGAAUCUGGAAGAGGGUCGCGGAAUUCCCGGUGUAGAGGUGAAAUUCGUAGAUAUCGGGAGGAACACCAGCGGCGAAGGCGGCCUUCUGGACGGUGACUGACACUGAGACGCGAAAGCGUGGGGAGCAAACAGG